This 593-nucleotide long non-coding RNA is filed under the name Numida meleagris (helmeted guineafowl). Its description in RNAcentral is "lncRNA (ENSNMEG00000017160.1)". The record is from RNAcentral. Lineage: Eukaryota; Metazoa; Chordata; Aves; Galliformes; Numididae.
UAACACUUAUUUUCAUGCGUCUUCCUGCUCCUGUUUGCUUUAUAUUAGUAAAGUGGACUUUUUUGUUCUCCUGCAGUUAAUACUUGGGAUGUUCUGAAGUCUUCGUGCACUGUCCUUCCAGUGGCAUAUUGGACAACUGACAGCAGCAGCACAGUUGGCAUGUAUAUCUGAAGUUUCUGAAGCUUUUAUGACUAUGUCUGUUCGUAAAAGCCAUUCAGGUUAUGUCCUCAGAUAAACUGAGUCAGCAUAUAAAGCUGCACACUACGCAAUGCAUAUACAUAACGGAGGAAUGGGGAUCAAAUCCAGGGUAAUGGGGCUGCAGCUAAAAAGAGCCAGAGUCUCAAAGCCAGCAGUUCCUCAGAAUUUGUUGCUGUUGUCUUCCUGGGCUCUUUACACCUUCUCAAAUCAUGAAUGUAUUAUUUUGGCUGGCAGUCUGCAGAGUGCCAGCAUUCUCAGGAGGAGAGCAUUAAGGGAAAGCAGGUUGUCAACAUCCCGGUUGUGGCCUUUCCUUAUCUGAGAUUUUGUGAAUAAUCAGUUUUUCUGAAUAAUGUACACAGAAUAAAUUAUACAGUUGGGUUGAAAUGGCUUAGAAU